UACGUAGGUGGCAAGCGUUAUCCGGAUUUAUUGGGCGUAAAGGGAACGCAGGCGGUCUUUUAAGUCUGAUGUGAAAGCCUUCGGCUUAACCGGAGUAGUGCAUUAGAAACUGGGAGACUUGAGUGCAGAAGAGGAGAGUGGAACUCCACGUGUAGCGGUGAAAUGCGUAGAUAUAUGGAAGAACACCAGUGGCGAAAGCGGCUCUCUGGUCUGUAACUGACGCUGAGGUUCGAAAGCGUGGGUAGCAAACAGG
Molecule: ribosomal RNA, 253 nt
Filed under: uncultured bacterium
Lineage: Bacteria
Description: partial 16S ribosomal RNA
Rfam family: Bacterial small subunit ribosomal RNA
Source: RNAcentral